AACGAACGCUGGCGGCGUGCCUAACACAUGCAAGUCGAGCGCGAAUAGGGGCAACCCUUAGUAGAGCGGCGCACGGGUGCGUAACACGUGGGUAAUCUGCCUGGAUGUCUGGGAUAACCAGUCGAAAGACUGGCUAAUACCGGAUAAGCCCACGGCCUCUUCGGAGGCUGAGGGAAAAGGUGGCCUCUGUAUACAAGCUAUCACAUCCAGAUGAGCCCGCGGCCCAUCAGCUAGUUGGCGGGGUAAUGGCCCACCAAGGCAACGACGGGUAGCUGGUCUGAGAGGACGAUCAGCCACACUGGAACUGAGACACGGUCCAGACUCCUACGGGAGGCAGCAGUGGGGAAUUUUGCGCAAUGGGCGAAAGCCUGACGCAGCAACGCCGCGUGUGUGAUGAAGGUCUUCGGAUUGUAAAGCACUUUCGGCCGGGACGAAAACCCGUAGCCCAACACGCUACGGCUUGACGGUACCGGAAGAAGAAGCACCGGCUAACUCUGUGCCAGCAGCCGCAGUAACAC
Molecule: ribosomal RNA, 518 nt
Filed under: uncultured bacterium
Lineage: Bacteria
Description: bacterial SSU rRNA
Rfam family: Bacterial small subunit ribosomal RNA
Source: RNAcentral